Non-coding RNA from Xyrichtys novacula (pearly razorfish), 380 nucleotides. The record is from the annotation of a GenBank genome assembly. Lineage: Eukaryota; Metazoa; Chordata; Actinopteri; Labriformes; Labridae.
CUGUGUUCACCCUGCAGGUCAGUUCUGAUGUUUUAACCAUCUGUGACUCAUAUCUGAUGUUUUCAUCUAAGUGUGAACAGGUCAGUUCUGAUUGGUUCUGAUCCGACCCUCUUCUGUAUGUGGAUAUAAAUCAGAUAUGUAUCUGAUGUGACUGCAGUGUGACGCUCAGGUCGCGUUUAUCCGACCUUUACGUCAUCAAUAUGAGACAAACGUCACCAUUGUUCAACAACACAAACAGGAGCGGAGAGAUAUUUGUGUUUUGUGUUCAUGUGGGUCACUUCAUGAACGUAUUUGUUGUUGUAAAGUGAACGACGCACAAGAAGAUCGGAUUGAACAAAAAUCUGAAUUGUGGAUCAGAACCUGCAGAGUGAACAUAGACU